GCACAGCUCCACCCACUGCACUAGUUUAGUUUCUGAAGAAAUUAAGCCUCAGAUGAUCUAAGGAGUUUCCAUUUGUUCUUUUACUCAGAGAAACAUGGAUCCCGUCACUGGUCUGGCCAUGGUAGCAGGUGCAGCAGGAGCUGUGGUUGCUGCUCCUGUUGUUUUGGGGGCUGCAGGGUUCACUUCAGAUGGAAUAGCAGCCGGCUCAUAUGCUGCAGGUAUGAUGUCCUCUGCAGCGAUUGCCAAUGGAGGAGGAGUGGCAGCUGGAAGUCUGGUGGCUGUUCUGCAAUCAGCAGGUGUUGCCGGUCUCUCUGGGACUGCAAUGUCGGCUGUUGCUGCUGUUGGAGGAGGAUUGGGAUUUCUUGCCCAAUCAGCAGGAGCAGUAGGGGCAGCAACAGCUGCAACAGCUGCAACUGCAUCCACGGUCAUGACUGGAGUUGCUGCUGGAGUUGCUGCUUUUGGAGCAACAGCAAGGUGUCUGGGAGGCAGACACUCCAAAUUCCACCCGAUGCGAAAGCGCCGUGCCGUGCCGUGGCGCGCUCUUGAAUCAUACUGCCCAGCACCUAGAACCCAUUCUCUUCGAUCAGACAAAUUCUACCGGAUGCGAAAUCACCGCACCACGUCUCAGGGCCAGCGCCCACAUACUGCGAAAUGGAUGCACUGCGCUGCGCAGCGCAGGUGGCAGCCCUCACGCAGUACUUAUGCACCCAUCGAAGUCAAUGAAGUCGCAGGCAGAGCGCGCCCAGAGCCUGCGCGCCCAGAGCCUGCGCGAGGCCUGCGUCAAGCGUACACCCGCCGUCAUCCUGCGGUCCGCCCUCCGGAAAACUUCGGCCCAGGUUGGGGGGGCCAACCAGAUGGCGAGAUGGCGCCAAGAUGGCGGCCAGCGCGGUUAGGUUGUGAGGAGCUCCAAUACUAUAAGAUGUACCACAAUAAAAAAGACUAUUAGACCAAAGAUUAUCACCACUGCUUGUAUGUGAAGGUAAGGAGGAUCAAAGAACGAGGAGAAAAGAAAGCGUCUGAAAAUACGUUUCUUGUAAGAAAACUCGAAAAGUAGCUGUUAGCUUCCGGCUUAAAAGUUAGCUUAAGCAAGAUCAACAUGGCAAAAAGAGGAGCUAAAAACAAGGAACUGACCACUUUAUUUGAAUGAGGCCAAAGCUCUGAAGAAAUGUCUGAUUUAAAGGGGCUGUACCAUGCUUCUUUAGCUAGUCCAAACCCUAUUAUUGGCAUUAACAUGGUAAUAGUUUAUUUUUGGCGCUAAGGAAAAGUCAUUUUGUGUGAAAUGAAGAUUUAGGGCCCGUGGGUUUUCAUAACCCACCAACCCUACGUAAAUUACACCUGUGAGUUGGAGCUAAAUAACAUGAUUCAGUUUAAGUGAAUGUAAGCUGUCAUUAUCGUUUUACACAAUGAGAAUGAGAAAAAAUAUUUUAUCUUGUCCUGUUCCUGAACACACAGGAUAGAAGAGAGGCUUGCUGAUUGGGUCGCUACAUGCAGUAUAUACAUGUCUUUGACUUUUUUUAUACCUUAAGCACUGACCCACAUCAAUCAGUAAUGUUGAACACUAACCAAUAGCAUAUAAUAAAGUCAUUCAGUGAGUGAGAAUUAUCUGAUUCAUAAAAAAGCUGAACAUUUUAGAAUACCAUCUUCUCAAUAAAUAGCAGUGGAAUUGAUCUGUGUCUCUUGAACACAUUUUGUAUCUUAGCUAUUCAGUGGUUCAAUGCGAUUCUAUUAAUUUAUCUUUUUGUAAAAACUGUAAAUUAAAUUCAAUUUAAAAUUGCUAAAGUCAAUAUUUCUCAACAUUGAGGUUAUGAUGUAACCCUCCAGGACCAGGAGUGGGUUGGCUGGCCAUGUGAUUCCUCACACAUCACCUCCAUCACUGCAGUAAAAAGAAAACAACAUUCUGUAUAUGUAUUGUAACCUGUCAUUUUUUUGCCUAAGCCGCCUGGCCUCUAGGGGGCAACAUUGUUUCAGCUGUGGUACUUUGAUAGGAAGUUCUGAUAUUAGCAGCAGAAAGCUAAUCCUUUUCCUCAGACUGCCGUUUGUUUCAAGCUCUUUGGGUGGCAAAAUAAGUAAAUAAAUAUGUUAUUGAUGUUAGAAUCUGUAUUGGAAUGUUGUAGUCUGUGUGCAGUGUUUCUGACUUACAUUCCUCUUUCAAAUUUGUAUUAUCCUGGUGGAUUUGGAACUUUGGGGCUAUCUAAGUUCAAUUUGUGCAAUUUAUGCAUCUUUUCAUACGCAGUUCCUCCGUAAUCUCUCCCAUUUCUAUUAAUAAUACCUGUCAUCAUAUCUCAUUGUAUGCUGAUGACAUUUUACUAUAUUUAAAUAACCCAGUGCAGAGUAUCCCACAUGUUUUGACGACCGUUAUGGCAAGCUGUCCGGCUUCAAAAUAAACUGGCAGAAAUCUGCCUUGCUGCCUCUAAAUCAUGCCACGAGUAAUGCACCCAUUCCUGCUUCUAUUCCAGUUACUAAAAACUUUAUUUAUCUGGGGAUGGAUAUUUAUUCUUCUAUCCAGACAAUAAUUAGACAUAAUUUGUGCAAUACACUCAACAAAGUAGUAGAUGACCUCGAUAGAUGGUCUAGCAUUCCAAAUUCACUUCGUGGUAGGAUAGCUAUUAUUAAAAUGAACAUUCUGCCCAGAAUCAAUUUUGUCAGUUCCAUGCUUCCUCUCCCUCCGCCCUCUCAAUACUGGAGUGAACUUCAACCAGCAAUAUCAAAGUUUAUUUGGCGAGGUAGACGACCUCGUAUUAAACUUAAGACAGUGCAGCGAGAAAGGCAGGACGGCGGUCUAUCCGUCCCAAACUUUAAGUUUAAGGCAUGGGAUGCACUUUUGACUAACCUCCGUGGACUUCAGAUGUAACAUUUGACUGUAUUUAAUGGAUCUGGAUCUGGGGAAUGUUUUUUUUUUUCUUUUCUGUUUGUUCUGGUGUUGUGUCUGAGACUUAUUUUAAAUAAUUCAUUUCUAUAUUUAGAUUUUUUUCCUUAUGUGUAUCUUCGGGUGUUCACACACUUUACAUUGCUUCGACAGCUGUUGUAGAUGUUUUUGUCUUUAAAUCAGGUUUUGGUCAUAAUUACAGUUUUGAUUUCAUUUUGAAUUUUAUUUUUGUAUUAUGCAUAAACAUUUCUGUGUGUGUCAUGCUGAGAAGCACAAAGAAAAUACAUAAAAAUGUGAUCACAAAAAAAAAGGUUUAUGCUACUUUAUAACUGUACCAGUCUGAUUAAUGUGUUUCUGUUUUUGUUGGUACAUUUCAGUUUCACACUUUUUUGAUUUAAAUCCGUCCAUCACAACAACCGGCCUGUUCCUUGGAGGAUGCAAUACAAAGGAGAAUUUAGCUGGCUGUGAACCCCAGUAUAGGACAGGAGUCACACUGGGUGUAACAGUACAGUAUAAAUACUUUCUGAACUUGUAUCUGUGUCCUUACUUGAAUAAAGUACUGAACUGGCUCUGAA
This is a long non-coding RNA of Salarias fasciatus (jewelled blenny), 3441 nucleotides long. RefSeq lists it as uncharacterized. The record is from RefSeq and is a predicted model, not a curated record. NCBI's taxonomy places the organism in Eukaryota, Metazoa, Chordata, Actinopteri, Blenniiformes, Blenniidae. The transcript is spliced from 5 exons.